Passer domesticus (house sparrow) is the source of this 297-nucleotide long non-coding RNA. RefSeq lists it as uncharacterized. NCBI's taxonomy places the organism in Eukaryota, Metazoa, Chordata, Aves, Passeriformes, Passeridae. The transcript has 3 exons. The record is from RefSeq and is a predicted model, not a curated record.
UGGCACUGUUGUGUCAUUCUCCACACUCACUCCAUGGCUGGGAGGAGGGCAGGGAGAGGGAAAUCUCAGAGGAUGGAUCCUGGAAGGGAGCCUUGUGCUCUCCCCAAAGUUUUAACCCUGGGCUUCUCUCCCUCUCUCUUUCAAGCUGGUCAUAACCCAGUCUGGAACCUCCAGUGCUGCUGUCAGGAACUCAUUUAAAACAUCAGGCAGUGUUUUUUAACAUGCUAAAAGCACAGGCUUGAUUCACACAACUCUUUGGAAGAAGCCCCAUCUGCUAAAUAUAGUCUGAAACCUGUA